CACACACACACACACACACACACACACACACACACACACACACACACACACACUCCAAUCACUCAGUGUGUCAUGCAGCAGCAGAGAACAUGAUCUGGGAGCUGUUUCCCAGCUGCUGUUUGGAAACAAUGUUCAUUUAAAAGAAUUUCCCCCGAGAACUCCCCGCGUGUGGAUUUACCUCAUCAUCAGCUUCGCUCCACGCGACGGACUUCGGGGAAUUCAUUUUACACUUAAAACAUUUUCUGGAAUGAUCCGGACAUAAAAUCAGAGCCUUCCCACUUACAAGAGAUGUAACGAACAGUGUUUAACGUGGAAAGGAUGGCAGGAAGCUCUCCGCUCCAUCACCGACACCUGCGAGUCGCUUCGGGGAACGGAACGAGCGACUCCGAACCCCAGAGUCACCGCUUCUACACCGGACCACGGGGAGACCAUCUCGGAGCCGGUGCACGGCCGGAGGUUACGGCAUCCUCGCACCGGCAACAUGCCGACAGAACCUCUUACAGUAAACACAGAAACCUGGACCACGGCCAAACAAACGAUCUGACCCAGUGAGAGGAGCGGCCCGGAACCACCGGUGAGGAACCGGAGGUCUCCUGUGACCUUCAGGAACCUCUGUGGACGCGUCAUGGAAGGAGAAUUAAGGAAAUGGACGCAGCUCCGAUGAAGUGAAUUCCUCAUGGGAACCCGGCGAGAUGCAGAAAUGUCACGGCCCAUGUGCGCUGGAUUAAAAACAUCACGAAGGAAGAGAGGUGUAGAAUAAAACCGACGCCGGACUCCACCGCUUUUAUCAUUAUUUAUUUUCCGAAAAGGCUUCAUUUCAGGAUCCAAACAUUCCGGAAACGCUUCCGUCACGAAUCGGACGCGUCACGCGUAUCGCCGAUUUCUUCCCUGCCUCAAACGAAACGGUUUCCCCAGUCCAGUCGUUUCCGUGUAGAGGUGAUGAAGGCGAGAUGAGGGAAAGGGGGCGGGGCUUACUCCGGGUCAGUUAAAAACACCUCACAUGGCUCUCUCAAUCAUCCCGGACUCACGUGUCGAUCCGAUAUCGUACCUCGGCUACCGACACGUGACUACCCGCCCUCUUCCGCACACGCGGGCGGACUCUCGGACACCGCGAUGGAAAGGAUGCCCCGCCCGCGUGGAUUCGAUCGCGCGCUCGGAUCUAAAUGAAAAUACGUCACUAACACACUCUGCGUGUUUUUAUUUUUAAAUAAGAGAGUCUUUAUUAAUAAGAUGAUUUAAAAAAAAAAAUCCAUUCAUCAUCACAUUCCAGGAUGCGUUCACAUGCAGAGCAUUCCCAACAAUCAAACCAAACCACAACUCAAAGCGUAACCGUCGCGCGAGCGAGCCGAGGGAAGCCGUCACCGUACGGGUACCGCUCGACCCGCCGGGUCCGGAUCCGGAUCGGUGUCUGACGGCUGGUCAGUAAAAUGGGGUUGGUAUAAAAGAGUAGGAAAGAAAAAGACGUCUAGUCGACAAACCCUGGUUUUAUUGGUAGACAGGAGAUGAUCUCGACUUCCCACAGAACCUGCAUUCAACAAUCACAACCACAGAGAGGCGUCUAUACUUAUAUCAGGGGUUCUAAAACCAGCACUGCAAACUCACUGCACACGCUCUCACACACUCGCUCACACACUCGCUCGCUCACACACCACACACUCGCU
This is a long non-coding RNA of Ictalurus punctatus (channel catfish), 1661 nucleotides long. The record is from Ensembl. Lineage: Eukaryota; Metazoa; Chordata; Actinopteri; Siluriformes; Ictaluridae.